AGAGGACAGAAAUUAGCCUCCCGGGCUUUGUCCCAUCGCUGUCUUUUGCUAUGUGGAGGCUCUGCUGGAAGGAAACUUCUGUUACUGCACAGGUAGAACUGCCAACAUGGCCGCUUCACAGUAUGGGAGGAGACUUUGUAUCUAUUACAUCUCAAGGAUGCUUGUCAGCAGCAGCCAUGCACACCAACGGGCCGGGCCGGGCUUGAGAGCUUCAGAACAUCAGCCAUGCUCAGACUAUUUCCAGGGACUCCCACUCCUGCGUUCUUUCACCUUUCCUAGUCACAGUUUGGAUCCAGCUGUGGUGCUAAGUAUAAAGGACUCAGCUAGAGCCACCCCGGCUCAUCGUUGCAGGGUAGGGGACGACCUUCUCGAUACGGACAUGAUAGUCUCUCUCAGAUCUGCAGAGGGUUGGUGGCCUCCAGAUGCUGAGGAGUGGGGCUGCUAACACAGAGAGAGCGCUAAGUGACAGCAGACACUGCAAAGUCACUGUAAAGGAAAAGGGACAGUUGUGUACUGCUGGCUCCUUUCUGGUAGAUUCUUUACCUCAAAUGCCAACUUCCUAUUCAUGAACUCGUCAUCUUAUAAAUUAAA
RNAcentral lists this long non-coding RNA (591 nucleotides) under Rattus norvegicus (Norway rat). Its description in RNAcentral is "long non-coding RNA NONRATT005156". Lineage: Eukaryota; Metazoa; Chordata; Mammalia; Rodentia; Muridae. The record is from RNAcentral.